GGGCCCGCACAAGCGGAGGAACAUGUGGUUUAAUUCGAUGAUACGCGAGGAACCUUACCCGGGUUUGAACGCAUUCGGACCGGAGUGGAAACACUCUUUUCAGCAAUGACCGUUUGCGAGGUGCUGCAUGGUUGUCGUCAGCUCGUGCCGUGAGGUGUCGGCUUAAGUGCCAUAACGAGCGCAACCCUUAUUGUUAGUUACCAUCAGGUAGUGCUGGGGACUCUAACAAGACUGCCAGCGUAAGCUGUGAGGAAGGUGGGGAUGACGUCAAAUCAGCACGGCCCUUACAUCCGGGGCGACACACGUGUUACAAUGGAUGGGACAGAGGGCAGCCACUUGGUGACAAGGAGCCAAUCCCUUAAAACCCAUUCUCAGUUCGGAUCGAAGUCUGCAACCCGACUUCGUGAAGCUGGAUUCGCUAGUAAUCGCGCAUCAGCCAUGGCGCGGUGAAUACG
Molecule: ribosomal RNA, 455 nt
Filed under: uncultured Bacteroidales bacterium
Lineage: Bacteria; Pseudomonadati; Bacteroidota; Bacteroidia; Bacteroidales
Description: bacterial SSU rRNA
Rfam family: Bacterial small subunit ribosomal RNA
Source: RNAcentral